GAGUUUGAUCCUCGGCUCAGAUUGAACGCUGGCGGCAGGCCUAACACAUGCAAGUCGAGCGGUAACAGAUUGAUAGCUUGCUAUCAAUGCUGACGAGCGGCGGACGGGUGAGUAAUGCCUGGGAAUAUACCCUGAUGUGGGGGAUAACUAUUGGAAACGAUAGCUAAUACCGCAUAAUCUCUUGUCUUUUACGAGAUGGGAGCAAAGAGGGGGACCUUCGGGCCUCUCGCGUCAGGAUUAGCCCAGGUGGGAUUAGCUAGUUGGUGGGGUAAUGGCUCACCAAGGCGACGAUCCCUAGCUGGUCUGAGAGGAUGAUCAGCCACACUGGAACUGAGACACGGUCCAGACUCCUACGGGAGGCAGCAGUGGGGAAUAUUGCACAAUGGGGGAAACCCUGAUGCAGCCAUGCCGCGUGUAUGAAGAAGGCCUUCGGGUUGUAAAGUACUUUCAGUUGUGAGGAAGGCGUUGGAGUUAAUAGCUUCAGCGCUUGACGUUAGCAACAGAAGAAGCACCGGCUAACUCCGUGCCAGCAGCCGCGGUAAUACGGAGGGUGCGAGCGUUAAUCGGAAUUACUGGGCGUAAAGCGCAUGCAGGCGGUCUGUUAAGCAAGAUGUGAAAGCCCGGGGCUCAACCUCGGAACAGCAUUUUGAACUGGCAGACUAGAGUCUUGUAGAGGGGGGUAGAAUUUCAGGUGUAGCGGUGAAAUGCGUAGAGAUCUGAAGGAAUACCGGUGGCGAAGGCGGCCCCCUGGACAAAGACUGACGCUCAGAUGCGAAAGCGUGGGGAGCAAACAGGAUUAGAUACCYUGGUAGUCCACGCCGUAAACGAUGUCUACUUGAAGGUUGUGGCCUUGAGCYGUGGCUUUCGGAGCUAACGCGUUAAGUAGACCGCCUGGGGAGUACGGUCGCAAGAUUAAAACUCAAAUGAAUUGACGGGGGCCCGCACAAGCGGUGGAGCAUGUGGUUUAAUUCGAUGCAACGCGAAGAACCUUACCUACUCUUGACAUCCAGAGAAUUCGCUAGAGAUAGCUUAGUGCCUUCGGGAACUCUGAGACAGGUGCUGCAUGGCUGUCGUCAGCUCGUGUUGUGAAAUGUUGGGUUAAGUCCCGCAACGAGCGCAACCCUUAUCCUUGUUUGCCAGCACGUAAUGGUGGGAACUCCAGGGAGACUGCCGGUGAUAAACCGGAGGAAGGUGGGGACGACGUCAAGUCAUCAUGGCCCUUACGAGUAGGGCUACACACGUGCUACAAUGGCGUAUACAGAGGGCUGCAAGCUAGCGAUAGUGAGCGAAUCCCACAAAGUACGUCGUAGUCCGGAUUGGAGUCUGCAACUCGACUCCAUGAAGUCGGAAUCGCUAGUAAUCGUGAAUCAGAAUGUCACGGUGAAUACGUUCCCGGGCCUUGUACACACCGCCCGUCACACCAUGGGAGUGGGCUGCACCAGAAGUAGA
Molecule: ribosomal RNA, 1449 nt
Filed under: uncultured bacterium
Lineage: Bacteria
Description: bacterial SSU rRNA
Rfam family: Bacterial small subunit ribosomal RNA
Source: RNAcentral